CGUACACUCCUGCGGGAGGCAGCAGUGGGGAAUAUUGGACAAUGGGCGCAAGCCUGAUCCAGCCAUGCCGCGUGAGUGAUGAAGGCCCUAGGGUUGUAAAGCUCUUUCACCGGUGAAGAUAAUGACGGUAACCGGAGAAGAAGCCCCGGCUAACUUCGUGCCAGCAGCCGCGGUAAUACGAAGGGGGCUAGCGUUGUUCGGAUUUACUGGGCGUAAAGCGCACGUAGGCGGACUAUUAAGUCAGGGGUGAAAUCCCGGGGCUCAACCCCGGAACUGCCUUUGAUACUGGUAGUCUUGAGUUCGAGAGAGGUGAGUGGAAUUCCGAGUGUAGAGGUGAAAUUCGUAGAUAUUCGGAGGAACACCAGUGGCGAAGGCGGCUCACUGGCUCGAUACUGACGCUGAGGUGCGAAAGCGUGGGGAGCAAACAGGAUUAGAUACCCGUGUAGUCCCAUG
Molecule: ribosomal RNA, 453 nt
Filed under: uncultured organism
Description: partial 16S ribosomal RNA
Rfam family: Bacterial small subunit ribosomal RNA
Source: RNAcentral